GUUAAUUUUAAAUAUCUUCAUUUAAAUUCUCAUCUAUUGAAAUAAACUUUAGUGGGUUUGGAUUUUGAUGAGUUGAAGCGAUCAUGACAUGUUAAUUAUGUUGAUAUUAUAUAUGAAGCAUGAAAAUUUUACAAAAAUUUUAAUUAAUCACAGCUAGCCAUUUUCUAUAGUAAAUUCAUUAAUAUAUUUUUCUAUUUAAAACAAUAUCCUAAUGCCUGGUGCACUUUAAAACAACUAUUUUGUAUUUGAAUUGUUUAAUUUAUGAAUCGUUUUUUCUUAAAUUCAAAAAGUUUAGUGUAAUUAUGGUCUCUAAAAUUUGAAUGAAUCAACUGGUUUUUGUACUGCAGCCGAUAGGCUUGUAAGACUUUCGAUUGCAAAUUCCUUACUGAAUCGAUGAAAAGACAUUUACUCUCAAUGUUCUUAGUUAAUUUUUGAUAGGCUGUGUGAAUCCACUUUUAUUCUCCGUCCUUGAUUGUUAUUGAUUUGUCAAAUUCUUUUUUGUUCUUUCUUUAGUAAGAUUCUGUUUUUCUCCCUCUCUUUCUUUCAAUCAAGGAAUUUAUACCUCCUGUUUGAAAAAU
RNAcentral lists this unclassified non-coding RNA (578 nucleotides) under Hevea brasiliensis (rubber tree). Lineage: Eukaryota; Viridiplantae; Streptophyta; Magnoliopsida; Malpighiales; Euphorbiaceae. The record is from RNAcentral.